UGUAAAUGUAUAAAAUAUCACUAAAACAUUAAUGCUUAAUCUCUGGGAGUUUUUUUAAUUCUAAAAUAUUUAGAAAUUUAUGAAAUUUUAUUUGAUCUCAAGUGGAUCCCAUAAUUUGUACAUCUGUGUUUCUGUUGUAGUCCAAAUAUUGCACUAUUAUAAUCUUAGGCUACGGCCAUGCAGAUGCAAAUUUAGAGUGCACGAGCGAUUUCUGGUGUCAUCACACUUGCACAGUGGGAUCAUGCAGAUGCAAAAAACUCAAAACAUCGCAUGCAAGAGCGAAAAUACAUUUCUCACACGUAUCUGACUCUGCUUGAUUUUAUUGCUGUCUGCCAAAUCUUGCUUGCCGCUGCACAUACAUAGUAGUCCAUGUUUAUUGCUGGAUAAACAAGAUGGCUACUUCCACGUGCUCUGCGGAUAAAAAGAUAUUAAAAGAAAAGUUAA
RNAcentral lists this long non-coding RNA (444 nucleotides) under Androctonus crassicauda. Lineage: Eukaryota; Metazoa; Arthropoda; Arachnida; Scorpiones; Buthidae. The record is from RNAcentral.